UACGUAGGGUGCAAGCGUUGUCCGGAAUUACUGGGCGUAAAGGGCGCGUAGGCGGCCGCCUAAGUCAGACGUGAAAUCCCUCGGCUCAACCGGGGAACUGCGUCUGAUACUGGGUGGCUUGAAUCCGGGAGAGGGAUGCGGAAUUCCAGGUGUAGCGGUGAAAUGCGUAGAUAUCUGGAGGAACACCGGUGGCGAAGGCGGCAUCCUGGACCGGUAUUGACGCUGAGGCGCGAAAGCCAGGGGAGCAAACGGG
RNAcentral lists this ribosomal RNA (253 nucleotides) under uncultured bacterium. RNAcentral's name for it is "partial 16S ribosomal RNA". It matches the Rfam family "Bacterial small subunit ribosomal RNA", at positions 524 to 776 of the family's 1533-position model. The record is from RNAcentral.